This 932-nucleotide ribosomal RNA is filed under the name uncultured fungus. Its description in RNAcentral is "eukaryotic LSU rRNA". The stretch from base 292 to 932 matches the Rfam family "Eukaryotic large subunit ribosomal RNA", at positions 1 to 664 of the family's 3401-position model. Lineage: Eukaryota; Fungi. The record is from RNAcentral.
AUCGAUGAAGAACGCAGCGAAAUGCGAUAAGUAAUGUGAAUUGCAGAAUUCAGUGAAUCAUCGAAUCUUUGAACGCACAUUGCGCCCGGUGGUAUUCCACCGGGCAUGCCUGUUCGAGCGUCAUUUCAACCCUCAAAGCCCUUGGCUUUGGUGUUGGAGGAAUACCCUGUUAAAAGGGUACCCUCUGAAAUUUAGUGGCGGGCUCGCUAGAAUUUUGAGCGUAGUAAUUUUACCUCGUUUUUAAAGACUAGUGGGACUUCUUGCCGUAAAACCCCCCAACUUUCUGAAAAUUGACCUCGGAUCAGGUAGGAAUACCCGCUGAACUUAAGCAUAUCAAUAAGCGGAGGAAAAGAAACCAACAGGGAUUGCCCUAGUAACGGCGAGUGAAGCGGCAACAGCUCAAAUUUGAAAUCUGGCUUCGGCCCGAGUUGUAAUUUGCAGAGGAUGUUUAUGGUGCGGUACCUUCCGAGUUCCCUGGAACGGGACGCCACAGAGGGUGAGAGCCCCGUCUGGUUGGAUACCAAACCUGUGUUAAACUCCUUCAACGAGUCGAGUAGUUUGGGAAUGCUGCUCUAAAUGGGAGGUAAAUCUCUUCUAAAGCUAAAUACUGGCCAGAGACCGAUAGCGCACAAGUAGAGUGAUCGAAAGAUGAAAAGCACCUUGAAAAGGGGGUUAAACAGUACGUGAAAUUGUUGAAAGGGAAGCGUUUAUGACCAGACUUGUGUCGUGUGGCUCAUCCGAGGUUCUCCCCGGUGCACUCCACGCGGCUCAGGCCAACAUCGGUUCUUGUUGGAGGAUAAGAACAGUAGGAACGUAGCUCUCCUUCGGGGGAGUGUUAUAGCCUAUUGUACGAUACUCUGACGGGGACCGAGGACCGCGCUUCGGCUAGGAUGUUGGCGUAAUGGUCAUUAGCGACCCGUCUUGAAACACGG